CCUACUGGUGGCUGCAGUGGGGAAUAUUGGACAAUGGGCGCAAGCCUGAUCCAGCAAUGCCGCGUGAGUGAAGAAGGCCCUAGGGUUGUAAAGCUCUUUCGUCAGGGAAGCUAAUGACGGUACCUGCAGAAGAAGCCCCGGCUAACUCCGUGCCAGCAGCCGCGGUAAUACGGAGUGUGCAAGCGUUGUUCGGAAUUCCUGGGCGUAAAGCGCACGUAGGCGGCUAACCAAGUUGGGGGUGAAAGCCCAGGGCUUAACCCUGGAACGGCCUUCAAGACUGGUUGGCUAGAGGCCGAGAGAGGUAAGGGGAAUUCCUAGUGUAGAGGUGAAAUUCGUAGAUAUUAGGAAGAACACCGGUGGCGAAGGCGCCUUACUGGCUCGGAACUGACGCUGAGGUGCGAAAGCGUGGGGAUCAAACAGGAUUAGAUACCCGUGUAGUC
This 440-nucleotide ribosomal RNA is filed under the name uncultured bacterium. RNAcentral's name for it is "partial 16S ribosomal RNA". It matches the Rfam family "Bacterial small subunit ribosomal RNA", at positions 338 to 795 of the family's 1533-position model. The record is from RNAcentral.